Molecule: ribosomal RNA, 498 nt
Filed under: uncultured bacterium
Lineage: Bacteria
Description: bacterial SSU rRNA
Rfam family: Bacterial small subunit ribosomal RNA
Source: RNAcentral
AGAGUUUGAUCCUGGCUCAGAUUGAACGCUGGCGGCAGGCUUAACACAUGCAAGUCGAGCGGUAACAGAGAGUAGCUUGCUACUUUGCUGACGAGCGGCGGACGGGUGAGUAACGCGUAGAAAACUGCCCAGUAGUGGGGGAUAGCCCAGAGAAAUUUGGAUUAAUACCGCAUACGCCCUACGGGGGAAAGGGGGCUUCGGCUCUCGCUAUUGGAUGUGUCUGCGUGGGAUUAGCUAGUUGGUGAGGUAAGGGCUCACCAAGGCGACGAUCCCUAGCUGGUCUGAGAGGAUGAUCAGCCACACUGGGACUGAGACACGGCCCAGACUCCUACGGGAGGCAGCAGUGGGGAAUAUUGCACAAUGGGCGCAAGCCUGAUGCAGCCAUGCCGCGUGUGUGAAGAAGGCUUUCGGGUUGUAAAGCACUUUCAGUGAGGAGGAAAAGUUAACGGUUAAUACCCGUUAGCCCUGACGUACUCACAGAAGAAGCACCGCUAACUU